RNAcentral lists this ribosomal RNA (513 nucleotides) under uncultured bacterium. Its description in RNAcentral is "partial 16S ribosomal RNA". It matches the Rfam family "Bacterial small subunit ribosomal RNA", at positions 28 to 523 of the family's 1533-position model. The record is from RNAcentral.
GACGAACGCUGGCGGCAUGCCUAAUACAUGCAAGUCGAGCGAACAGAUGAAGUGCUUGCACUUCUGACGUUAGCGGCGAACGGGUGAGUAACACGUAAGGAAUCUACCUAUAAGCGGGGGAUAACAUUCGGAAACGGGUGCUAAUACCGCAUAAUAUCUUCUUCCGCAUGGAAGAAGAUUGAAAGACGGCUCUGCUGUCACUUAUAGAUGACCUUGCGGUGCAUUAGUUAGUUGGUGGGGUAACGGCCUACCAAGACGAUGAUGCAUAGCCGACCGGGGAGGGUGAUCGGCCACAUUAGGACUGAGACACGGCCCAAACUCCUACGGGAGGAAGCAGUAGGGAAUCCUCCGCAAUGGGCGAAAGCCUGACGGAGCAAUGCCGCGUGGGUGAAGAAGGCCUUCGGGUCGUAAAACUCUGUUAUAAGAGAAGAACAAAUUGUAGAGUAACUGCUACAGUCUUGACGGUAUCUUAUCAGAAAGCCACGGCUAACUACGUGCCAGCCGCCGCCGUAA